GGAGGGUGCAAGCGUUAUCCGGAUUCACUGGGUUUAAAGGGUGCGUAGGAGGGCAGGUAAGUCAGUGGUGAAAUCUCCGAGCUUAACUCGGAAACUGCCGUUGAUACUAUCUGUCUUGAAUACCAUGGAGGUGAGCGGAAUAUGUCAUGUAGCGGUGAAAUGCUUAGAUAUGACAUAGAACACCAAUUGCGAAGGCAGCUCACUACACGAGCAUUGACUCUGAGGCACGAAAGCGUGGGGAUCAAACAGGAUUAGAUACCCUGGUAGUCCACGCCCUAAACUAUGGAUACUCGACAUACGCGAUACACUGUGUGUGUCUGAGCGAAAGCAUUAAGUAUCCCACCUGGGAAGUACGACCGCAAGG
RNAcentral lists this ribosomal RNA (364 nucleotides) under uncultured bacterium. RNAcentral describes it as "bacterial SSU rRNA". It matches the Rfam family "Bacterial small subunit ribosomal RNA", at positions 527 to 893 of the family's 1533-position model. The record is from RNAcentral.